Molecule: ribosomal RNA, 548 nt
Filed under: Acanthurus nigricans (whitecheek surgeonfish)
Lineage: Eukaryota; Metazoa; Chordata; Actinopteri; Acanthuriformes; Acanthuridae
Description: partial 12S rRNA
Rfam family: Bacterial small subunit ribosomal RNA
Source: RNAcentral
ACCCCCGUGAGAAUGCCCUACAGUUUCCUGCCUGGAAACAAGGAGCUGGUAUCAGGCACACUCCUUUAGUAGCCCACAACACCUUGCUUAGCCACACCCUCAAGGGACUUCAGCAGUGAUAAAUAUUAAGCCAUAAGUGAAAACUUGACUUAGUUAAGGCUAAAUAGGGCCGGUAAAACUCGUGCCAGCCACCGCGGUUAUACGAGAGACCCAAGUUGACAGACAAUCGGCGUAAAGAGUGGUUAAGUACUAAAUCUUACUAAAGCCAAACACCUUCAAAGCUGUUAUACGCACCCGAAGGUUAGAAGCCCAAUCACGAAAGUGGCUUUAAACUAACUGAACCCACGAAAGCUAGGGCACAAACUGGGAUUAGAUACCCCACUAUGCCUAGCCCUAAACAUUGAUGAUAACUUACAAUUAUUAUCCGCCUGGGAACUACGAGCACCAGCUUAAAACCCAAAGGACUUGGCGGUGCUUUAGACCCACCUAGAGGAGCCUGUUCUAGAACCGAUAACCCCCGUUCAACCUCACCCUUCCUUGUUCCUCCC